GAUGAACGCUGGCGGCGUGCCUAAUACAUGCAAGUCGAGCGAACGGACGAGAAGCUUGCUUCUCUGAUGUUAGCGGCGGACGGGUGAGUAACACGUGGAUAACCUACCUAUAAGACUGGGAUAACUUCGGGAAACCGGAGCUAAUAACGGAUAAUAUUUUGAACCGCAUGGAUCAAAAGUGAAAGACGGUCUUGCUGUCACUUAUAGAUGGAUCCGCGCUGCAUUAGCUAGUUGGUAAGGUAACGGCUUACCAAGGCAACGAUGCAUAGCCGACCUGAGAGGGUGAUCAGCCACACUGGAACUGAGACACGGUCCAGACUCCUACGGGAGGCAGCAGUAGGGAAUCUUCCGCAAUGGGCGAAAGCCUGACGGAGCAACGCCGCGUGAGUGAUGAAGGUCUUCGGAUCGUAAAACUCUGUUAUUAGGGAAGAACAUAUGUGUAAGUAACUGUGCACAUCUUGACGGUACCUAAUCAGAAAGCCACGGCUAACUACGUG
RNAcentral lists this ribosomal RNA (497 nucleotides) under uncultured bacterium. RNAcentral's name for it is "partial 16S ribosomal RNA". It matches the Rfam family "Bacterial small subunit ribosomal RNA", at positions 28 to 507 of the family's 1533-position model. The record is from RNAcentral.